RNAcentral lists this ribosomal RNA (513 nucleotides) under uncultured bacterium. RNAcentral's name for it is "partial 16S ribosomal RNA". It matches the Rfam family "Bacterial small subunit ribosomal RNA", at positions 28 to 523 of the family's 1533-position model. The record is from RNAcentral.
GAUGAACGCUGGCGGCGUGCCUAAUACAUGCAAGUCGAGCGAACAGAUGAGAAGCUUGCUCCUUUGAAGUUAGCGGCGGACGGGUGAGUAACACGUGGGUAACCUACCUAUAAGACUGGGAUAACUUCGGGAAACCGGAGCUAAUACCGGAUAACAUUUAGAACCGCAUGGUUCUAAAGCGAAAGAUGGUUUUGCUAUCACUUAUAGAUGGACCCGCGCCGUAUUAGCUAGUUGGUAAGGUAACGGCUUACCAAGGCGACGAUACGUAGCCGACCUGAGAGGGUGAUCGGCCACACUGGAACUGAGACACGGUCCAGACUCCUACGGGAGGCAGCAGUAGGGAAUCUUCCGCAAUGGGCGAAAGCCUGACGGAGCAACGCCGCGUGAGUGAUGAAGGGUUUCGGCUCGUAAAACUCUGUUAUUAGGGAAGAACAAAUGUGUAAGUAACUGUGCACAUCUUGACGGUACCUAAUCAGAAAGCCACGGCUAACUACGUGCCAGCCGCCGCCGUAA